RNAcentral lists this ribosomal RNA (459 nucleotides) under uncultured bacterium. RNAcentral describes it as "partial 16S ribosomal RNA". It matches the Rfam family "Bacterial small subunit ribosomal RNA", at positions 338 to 795 of the family's 1533-position model. The record is from RNAcentral.
CCUACGGGUGGCAGCAGUGAGGAAUAUUGGUCAAUGGCCGAGAGGCUGAACCAGCCAAGUAGCGUGAGGGAAGACGGCCCUACGGGUUGUAAACCUCUUUUGUCGGGGAGCAACGAGCCUCACGUGUGACUCUUUGAGAGUACCCGAAGAAAAAGCAUCGGCUAACUCCGUGCCAGCAGCCGCGGUAAUACGGAGGAUGCGAGCGUUAUCCGGAUUUAUUGGGUUAAAAGGGUGCGAAGGCGGAUGUGCAAGGCGGCGGUCAAAUUGCGGGGCUCAACCCGGCACUGCCGGGCAAACUGGAGUGCUUGAGUGCGCGGAAAGCAGGCGGAAUGCGUGGUGUAGCGGUGAAAUGCUUAGAUAUGACGAAGAACCCCGAUUGCGAAGGCAGCUUGCUGGAGCGGAACUGACGCUCAUGCUCGAAAGCGUGGGUAUCGAACAGGAUUAGAUACCCUGGUAGUC